ACUGCUCUCAUAAUUACAGCUCCAACUUCCUGCUUCAUCGUCUCAGCUCACAAUGGAGGAGGCAGCUUUUGAUAAUCCAGCAGAUCGCUUGUUAAUAUCGGUCAACUCCAUUUGUCUGUAUGUUAGCUUGACUGGCGUUCAGAAAGGUAUUCGAGGACGUGGUAUUAAAGUGCAGCCGGUGAUGGAGGACACGUUUUCUGGCAGAUUCACUGUCCAUUACAGAACCUGUUCUUGUAAAAACGCUGUCGACUUUUAUUACAGCAGUGUGAGAUGAGAUAGUUUAUUACCCACCUCUCUGUAAGAUUAAUCGUGUCCAAAUAUGGAUUUAGACUGAUGCUGCAAACACACCCUUGUUAUCAUUUAUUUUUCCUCAGGCCUCUGUGAGUGCGUCUACUGGCUUUAUUAGCAUUUUCAGCGUUAUUACAGAAGGUCUGUGUGGGCACGCAGGGCCUUUGAACAUGCAAUAAUCUCCAGUUAUCGGAUAAGAACGUUUCUCCAAUAUUUACUCUCUUUCAUUAAAUGAUUGAUAUAUGUGGCUACUGAGCUGCCAGUAUGUCACUGUGUCCACCUGCUAGUUUCUAACUUUGCGCUAAAAAGAGUCUGAUGAAUAUCAUAAUAUUGAUUCUGUCUGCUUUAAGAACUACAGACCUUUAAAUAUAUAUCCAGAGACAAAAAAAAACACUUGUGAAAACAUGACUACAAUGCAACCGAAACCAAAGACCAAAAGACCAAC
Molecule: long non-coding RNA, 733 nt
Organism: Scatophagus argus
Lineage: Eukaryota; Metazoa; Chordata; Actinopteri; Scatophagidae
Exons: 2
Source: RefSeq, a predicted model, not a curated record